AGUGAACGCUGGCGGUAGGCCUAACACAUGCAAGUCGAACGGCAGCACAGUAAGAGCUUGCUCUUACGGGUUGCGAGUGGCGGACGGGUGAGGAAUACAUCGGAAUCUACUCUUUCGUGGGGGAUCACGUAGGGAAACUUACGCUAAUACCGCAUACGACCUACGGGUGAAAGCAGGGGAUCUUCGGACCUUGCGCGAUUGAAUGAGCCGAUGUCGGAUUAGCUAGUUGGCGGGGUAAAGGCCCACCAAGGCGAGGAUCCGUAGCUGGAAUGGGAGGAUGGUCAGCCACACUGGAACUGAGACACGGUCCAGACUCCUACGGGAGGGAGCAGUGGGGAAUAUUGGACAAGGGGCGCAAACCUGAUCCAGACAUACCGCGUGGGUGAAGAGGGCCUUCGGGUUGGAGAGCCCUCUUGUUGGGAAAGAAAAGCAGCAGGUUAAUACCGCGGUGUUCUGACGGUACACAAAGAAUAAGCACCGGCUAACUUCGUG
This 492-nucleotide ribosomal RNA is filed under the name uncultured bacterium. RNAcentral describes it as "partial 16S ribosomal RNA". It matches the Rfam family "Bacterial small subunit ribosomal RNA", at positions 29 to 507 of the family's 1533-position model. The record is from RNAcentral.